AUUGAACGCUGGCGGCAUGCCUUACACAUGCAAGUCGAACGGCAGCACGGGAGCAAUCCUGGUGGCGAGUGGCGAACGGGUGAGUAAAGUAUCGGAACGUGCCCAGUCGUGGGGGAUAACGUAGCGAAAGUGACGCUAAUACUGCAUACGAUCUAUGGAUGAAAGCGGGGGAUCGCCAAACCUCGCGGGAAUGGCGAGGCCGAUAUAAGAUGAGGUAGUUGGGGGGGUAAAGGCUCACAAAGCCGACGAUCUGUAGCUGGUCUGAGAGGACGAACAGCCACACUGGGACUGAGACACGGCCCAGACUCCUACGGGAGGCAGCAGUGGGGAAUUUUGGACAAUGGGCGAAAGCCUGAUCCAGCCAUGCCGCGUGCAGGAUGAAGGCCUUCGGGUUGUAAACUGCUUUUGUACGGAACGAAAAGGUUUGGCCUAAUAAGCUGAGCUCAUGACGGUACCGUAAGAAUAAGCACCGGCUAACUACGUGCCAGCCGCCGCCGUAA
RNAcentral lists this ribosomal RNA (500 nucleotides) under uncultured bacterium. RNAcentral describes it as "partial 16S ribosomal RNA". It matches the Rfam family "Bacterial small subunit ribosomal RNA", at positions 29 to 523 of the family's 1533-position model. The record is from RNAcentral.